RNAcentral lists this ribosomal RNA (810 nucleotides) under Pseudocercospora paranaensis. Its description in RNAcentral is "eukaryotic LSU rRNA". It matches the Rfam family "Eukaryotic large subunit ribosomal RNA", at positions 77 to 919 of the family's 3401-position model. The record is from RNAcentral. Lineage: Eukaryota; Fungi; Ascomycota; Dothideomycetes; Mycosphaerellales; Mycosphaerellaceae.
GCCCUAGUAACGGCGAGUGAAGCGGCAACAGCUCAAAUUUGAAAUCUGGCGCAAGCCCGAGUUGUAAUUUGUAGAGGAUGCUUCUGGGUAGCGGCCGGUCUAAGUUCCUUGGAACAGGACGUCAUAGAGGGUGAGAAUCCCGUAUGUGACUGGCUUGCACCCUCCACGUAGCUCCUUCGACGAGUCGAGUUGUUUGGGAAUGCAGCUCUAAAUGGGAGGUAAAUUUCUUCUAAAGCUAAAUACCGGCCAGAGACCGAUAGCGCACAAGUAGAGUGAUCGAAAGAUGAAAAGCACUUUGGAAAGAGAGUUAAAAAGCACGUGAAAUUGUUGAAAGGGAAGCGCCCGCAACCAGACUUUGCGGCAGUGUUCGGCCGGUCUUCUGACCGGUUUACUCGCUGUCGUGAGGCCAUCAUCGUCUGGGACCGCUGGAUAAGACCUUAGGAAUGUGGCUCCCCUCGGGGAGUGUUAUAGCCUCUGGUGAUGCAGCGCGUCUCGGGCGAGGUCCGCGCUUCGGCAAGGAUGAUGGCGUAAUGGUUGUCGGCGGCCCGUCUUGAAACACGGACCAAGGAGUCUAACAUCUAUGCGAGUGUUCGGGUGUCAAACCCCUACGCGUAAUGAAAGUGAACGGAGGUGGGAACUUUUUGUGCACCAUCGACCGAUCCUGAUGUCCUCGGAUGGAUUUGAGUAAGAGCAUAGCUGUUGGGACCCGAAAGAUGGUGAACUAUGCCUGAAUAGGGUGAAGCCAGAGGAAACUCUGGUGGAGGCUCGCAGCGGUUCUGACGUGCAAAUCGAUCGUCAAAUUUGGGUAUA